GCCCUAUUUCUUUCUUCCCCGCCGAACCUUUCCUUCUCCUCUUCUCAUCGUCGAUCUUCUUCUUCUCUCCCGAGUCGCACGCUGCCGCCAACACCUCUCCUCAUCUCCUUCACCGCCGGGCGUCUUUUCCUUUUCUCUUUCGAGCUGCACACCGCCGGCCGCCCCCUCUUGCGUCUCCCGGUCGCCACGGUCGACGCCAGUGGACGAGAUCCACCCAAGCGCCACCGAGGGUCGUCGCUCCGGUCUUCUUCUUCUUCCUUCUGUCCUAGUGUCGGUGGCCCGUUUCAUUUCCACCUCCGGCCAUUACAGGCACAAGCAACCAGUGCCGAGCCUCCCUCCCCCGAUGCUCUCAGUUUCUCCUUGCCUUGUCGCUGCCGCGCCGUGCCCUAGAUCACCGGAAGCUGAGAGCGCGGGUAGGCGACAGAGUAGGGAUCUGGCAGUAGCAUUUGGGAGGCAUCGAUCACAGGUCUCCAAUAGCUACUUACUCUGGCAGAGAGAUAAACAGCCAGCAAGGUGACAUGUUGUAUCUGGUCUGACUACCCUUAUGUUCAGAUAGGAGGUCCUGGUAGAUAUUUGUGGAGUCGCUUGGAGUAUCCUAUUUGUCGGUCCUACGUCACAUCCGAAGACCUAUUUUUUGGUUUCUUUAGUACUUUAUUUGGUUUAUAUAUUCGAUGUACUUAGCUUUGUAUAUUCCGGAUUUAUUUUUGGAUUAUUGUGAUGUGGUGUCUUGUAUUGUUUAGUUGUGUGGUGUAAGCCUAGCCGGCUAGUAGUCUUAUUUUUGGGUUGUAAUGGUUUCUAUCGUUU
Long non-coding RNA from Zingiber officinale, 804 nucleotides. RefSeq lists it as uncharacterized. NCBI's taxonomy places the organism in Eukaryota, Viridiplantae, Streptophyta, Magnoliopsida, Zingiberales, Zingiberaceae. The transcript is spliced from 4 exons. The record is from RefSeq and is a predicted model, not a curated record.